This 556-nucleotide small RNA is filed under the name Rhodotorula sp. JY127. RNAcentral describes it as "eukaryotic LSU rRNA". It matches the Rfam family "Eukaryotic large subunit ribosomal RNA", at positions 59 to 631 of the family's 3401-position model. The record is from RNAcentral. Lineage: Eukaryota; Fungi; Basidiomycota; Microbotryomycetes; Sporidiobolales; Sporidiobolaceae. RNAcentral also lists the same sequence under 1 other name.
AAGAAACUAACAAGGAUUCCCCUAGUAGCGGCGAGCGAAGCGGGAAGAGCUCAAAUUUAUAAUCUGGCACCUUCGGUGUCCGAGUUGUAAUCUCUAGAAAUGUUUUCCGCGUUGGACCGCACACAAGUCUGUUGGAAUACAGCGGCAUAGUGGUGAGACCCCCGUAUAUGGUGCGGACGCCCAGCGCUUUGUGAUACAUUUUCGAAGAGUCGAGUUGUUUGGGAAUGCAGCUCAAAUUGGGUGGUAAAUUCCAUCUAAAGCUAAAUAUUGGCGAGAGACCGAUAGCGAACAAGUACCGUGAGGGAAAGAUGAAAAGCACUUUGGAAAGAGAGUUAACAGUACGUGAAAUUGUUGGAAGGGAAACGCUUGAAGUCAGACUUGCUUGCCGAGCAAUCGGUUUGCAGGCCAGCAUCAGUUUUCCGGGAUGGAUAAUGGUAGAGAGAAGGUAGCAGUUUCGGCUGUGUUAUAGCUCUCUGCUGGAUACAUCUUGGGGGACUGAGGAACGCAGUGUGCCUUUGGCGGGGGUUUCGACCUCUUCACACUUAGGAUGCUGGUG